GUGCUGGGCAGCCCGAAGGGAAUGUGGGGUGGGGAAGGACACGUCCGCAUUGUCUGGAAGCCAGCGCGCCAGGCCAGGAGGCCAGCAGCUCUGCCACCCCAGGCUGGGCCACGUGGGCUUUUCUUCUCUCUCUUAAGAAAGCCCCAGAAGCCCUGUGGGGCCCUGCCUGUCCCCAGCUCCGGGCCUGCCAUGCCCUCUGCCCCUCCAGCGCCCCCUGGAGCCCUCACGUAUCUACCUCCACUGCAGGACGGACCCUGUCAAGGACCAGGUUGGGCCCCCAAUGUAUGUGUGGGUCCCCUGGCGCCAGGGCGACGGUACCACGAAGGAGGCAGUCAAGCCGCAAGUCCCCGACGCCCGCAGAGGGUCCAGCCUGGCUCCGUGCCCCCAAACCCAUCCUCUUCAGAGGCCCGUGGAUCUGCGACCUUCCCACAGCCAUGGAGGCCACUUUGCCCCACCAGAGGCUUCCAGAGCGUCACCGCCUCAGAGAUGCAAACCCUACCCACAGUCCGCUGCUUCCAGACAGCCCGGGUGGGCUCCCCACUCCUGCCAGCACAGCGUCUGCCCAGAAGGCCUCCAGGAGCACCCCUUGGGAUUCUCGGACACCCACAGGCUCCCGGGCCUGGCUGGGAGGGCCCCUCCGUCCAGGGCACUGCAGUGGGGCUGAGCUCCAAGCCAGGACCUGUGCCAGGAAUCUCCCCUCCCUGGACGGACCAUUCUCCUCGCUUUUCUUUUCUUUUCUUUGUUUGUUUGUUUUUUGAGACAAGGUCUCACUAUGUAGCUGAGACUGACCUGGAACUCACUGUGUAGCCCAGGCUGGUCUCGAACUCACAGCGAUCCUCCUGCCUCAGCCUCCCGAGUGCUGGGGUUACAGGCUUCUCCUCACUUUUCACUCUGUCCUGUAAUUUGCAGGGACAGGAGAACUGGCCUCAUCCAUUUCCCCAACCCAUGUCUGCCAAGCGCCUCGAGUUCCAAGCGUGGGGCAGGGUGGGGGAUGCAGAGGCCGAGAGGACCCCGAUCCAGUCCCACCUAGGUCCUCCCAGGCGGUGACCACAGCUAGAAGGACAAAUCCCGAAGGAGCUCCGGCUGGAGAAGGCGAAAACCAGGGCUUCCUUUCCACAGCAUGGGACCUGGUGGGGGUAGCCCUGCCCGAACCCAAGUAAGCGGUGACCUCCCGGCCACCUGCUCCAGUCCCCACCCCACCUUCCUCCUGGCAGCCUGGGUUUCCAGACUAGAAAGCCAAUGGGAUUACAGGGAAUCAAGGUACAAACCUCGCCAGCCGGCAGGACCCACAGGGACACUCAUGCCCACGUGGGACAGGCAGCAGAGCAUGGCGGGGCGAGGGCAGCCAGGUUUCCCACUUUCUCCGGAGACAUCAGGGGUCUGGGGCACUCGCCAGAGCCGGCCAGAGAAGCAGGAGUAGAGGGGCGCAGUCCUUUCAUCCCAGCAUGGUCAAACCAGAAUUCAGACCCAGAAGGUCCUGAAAAGCCCUUGUCAUCCAGAAACCUUUUUAAAUUUGUCUCAUGCAACUUGAUGAGCCAGGAGGACUGCAAGUUCUAGCCCCACAGGGGCAACUUAAAGAGACCCUGUGCCAAAAUUAGAAAUACAUGUAUUUACAAGGGCUGGGGAUGUGGCUCAGGGCAGGGCCUGGGCUCCGUCCCUGCCAACCAGCUGCAGUCAGACGCUGAGUGGGAGGGAAGGACCGAGCCCGAAAGUCACAAGUCCCCAUACAUCAAAUGAGCACACCAGGCCCGUCCACCUCUCCUCACUGCCCUUGACAGGGCCCUUUCUGUGUGCACAGAUGUGACAGCUGUACCCUGGUCUCAUCCCUCUGCCCCUGUGCCUCUGCCUGGGCCGCCCCCGUCCUGCACACCUGGUCUGUGCAGCCUCCCCAGCCCGGCCUUCCGUCCCUGCCUGGGACACCUCACACAGCGCCGUCCCCUGGAGGGGGAUACGAUGCCCUGGCCACCAAGGCCUCGGCUGUGUCCCCUGGGCCAGCAAAUCCGGCCUGACUGUCAUCAGCACCCACUCCCUCAGCCCUCUGCCUUCUCCCCUCCUGGUCGGCAGCUGAGGACAUCUGGGGCCACUUUUCUGUGGGCCGUUAACAGUGCUGGUGAGCGCUGGGGAUUUAGCUCAGUGGCACCUCACCCGCCUGGCAAGCACAAGGUCCUGAGUUUGAUUCCUGGUACCAAGAAAAAACAAAAUAAAACAAAACACAGUGCUGGUGAAACAAAGGUCAGCCCAGGGGCUCUGCGAAGACCCCGCCCCGGACCGCGAGAGGGUCUCCUCUCCAGUCCCCAUCCACUGGGUCUUGGAACCCGUCCCAGAGAGAGCUGUACCUGAGAAGUGAAUGGUGUGCGGGUGAGCGUGUAUGUUUUGAACAGCCAAUUAAAACUUCCCAUUCAGCUGGGUGUGGUGAUUUGUGUCUGUGAUCCCAGCACCUGGGCGGCUGAGGUAGGAAGAGAGCAACUUAGUAACCUAGCAAGACCCCAUCUCAAGGUUAAAAACAAAGCUGGAGGUAACUCAGUGCAAAGGUCCUGGGUUUAGAUCCCAGGGCUACAAAUUCUCC
This 2566-nucleotide long non-coding RNA is filed under the name Fukomys damarensis (Damara mole-rat). Its description in RNAcentral is "lncRNA (ENSFDAG00000025785.1)". The record is from RNAcentral. Lineage: Eukaryota; Metazoa; Chordata; Mammalia; Rodentia; Bathyergidae.